CUCAGUAAGCAGUAAAUUUUCGUUUGACGAAUUUUUUCGUUUCACUCAGUAAGCAAGUAAAUUUUCUUUUAACCAAAGAAAAAUGUUUUCAACGGUAAGGAUUUCUUUUUUUUAAUAAAAACUUAAAACUCGGAAGACAUAUUGGUUUGAGCAGAACUCAAAAUCGAAAAAUCGAAUUAGGUUUGGCCGGUCGUGUUUAAAAUCUAAACCAGUGAGCUUAGCUAUAUAGGAGGAUUCAGAAUGAAGAAUGGUAAGUAACCACCCCUAUUCCUCUCCAAAUCCAGUUGUUACUUUCGGCGUGACCUUCAGCGAAAAUCACCAGUCAGAUGGUGAGUAAAGCCAGCAACCGGAGUUGCUUCCGGAAGUCUAUUUAGCGACCCAUGAAGAAUGCCCUUAGGCCAGAAUGGCAAACUUGUCAACAAAAUUUAUGACCGGAUAAUUCAAUUAUAGUGACACAGUGUUUGUGUUAGUCUUUGUGAAUAAAUGAUUCAAUGAAUAAA
Uranotaenia lowii is the source of this 500-nucleotide long non-coding RNA. RefSeq lists it as uncharacterized. The record is from RefSeq and is a predicted model, not a curated record. Lineage: Eukaryota; Metazoa; Arthropoda; Insecta; Diptera; Culicidae. The transcript is spliced from 2 exons.